Molecule: ribosomal RNA, 434 nt
Filed under: uncultured bacterium
Lineage: Bacteria
Description: partial 16S ribosomal RNA
Rfam family: Bacterial small subunit ribosomal RNA
Source: RNAcentral
AGCGAACGCUGGCGGCAGACCUAACACAUGCAAGUCGAACGAACCUUUCGGGGUUAGUGGCGGACGGGUGAGUAACACGUGGGAACGUGCCUUUAGGUUCGGAAUAACUCAGGGAAACUUGUGCUAAUACCGAAUGUGCCCUUCGGGGGAAAGAUUUAUCGCCUUUAGAGCGGCCCGCGUCUGAUUAGCUAGUUGGUUGAGGUAAUGGCUCACCAAGGCGACGAUCAGUAGCUGGUCUGAGAGGAUGAUCAGCCACAUUGGGACUGAGACACGGCCCAAACUCCUACGGGAGGCAGCAGUGGGGAAUCUUGCGCAAUGGGCGAAAGCCUGACGCAGCCAUGCCGCGUGAAUGAUGAAGGUCUUAGGAUUGUAAAAUUCUUUCACCGGGGACGAUAAUGACGGUACCCGGAGAAGAAGCCCCGGCUAACUACGUG